GGGCCAUUGUCACGGAUGACAAUCAAGAAGCUCCAUCCUUUGUGAACGAACCCGUGGAUUCAUGAAAAUCUGCGGGUAAUUCCGAAGGUACUUCGUCGGCACAGUCUCCUCCUCCCGCUGUCUCCCCGAAAGGCAAAAGGAAAAGAAAUGAUGUCGAAUACUCCGGCACUUCCAAAGCCGAAGAAGUUGAUCCUUCACACCAGAAGGCAACUUACGAUCCUUAUCUUGAAUCCCUCGUCAGCUCUGAUGACGAGGAAGAAGUACGAACUGUCGACGUGGCUCCCCGUACGAGCACGUCACAUACUGUGCUUGCUUCGGACACAUUAGUUGAAGGAGAAGAAUCUUCGCCUCCUCAACGAAACGUCGUCACCACUACUUCGCCAUCAAGCCCCCUUGCGCCUUCACCAAAAAGGACAAGAAUUGAAAGUAUUGUUGAGCCUGCCCCUCAGUUAGGCGGCUCUUCUACUUUGCUCUUGGAUGACCCCAUGAUCAAAGAGCUUAUUCGCAUCGGAUCCCAAUUCAUUGGGUACCGUGAGUAUGCCAACAGAGCUGAAGAGAAACUUGCAGAGGCCAACAAACGUGCCAACGCACUUGCUCAAAAACUGGAGCAAAGUGAAGCGGCCCGCAAGAAAGCCGAACUUGUUGCUAGCGAAGCCAAGGCAGAGGCUGAUGAAGCCAAAGCGAAGACUGCUCGUGUCGAGGAUCUGCAGAAAAGACUUGAGGAUGCUGAAACUGCUUUAAACGAGCACAAAGCUGCACAGGCUGAUCGUGAGCAGGGGAUCCUCAAGCGCCUGAAAUCACAAAGUCGACGUACUCAAAGUAAUAUUAUUGAUCCCUUCUAUUUUUAUGCUACCCGCUGUUUCUUGUU
Molecule: non-coding RNA, 868 nt
Organism: Lolium perenne
Lineage: Eukaryota; Viridiplantae; Streptophyta; Magnoliopsida; Poales; Poaceae
Source: RefSeq, a predicted model, not a curated record